This is a regulatory RNA element of 98 nucleotides. It matches the Rfam family "azaaromatic riboswitch aptamer (yjdF RNA)". The record is from Rfam.
CAUUGCGCUAUCAAAAACACAGUCUGGUUGGUAGUCCAGACGCGGCUUAGGCUGUCAGUAUCCUUCCUCCUUGGAUGUCCAGAUUGCGUGAAAAUCUU